GACGUAGGGCGCGAGCGUUGUCCGGAUUUAUUGGGCGUAAAGAGCUCGUAGGCGGUUUGUCGCGUCGGCUGUGAAAUCUCGGGGCUUAACUCCGAGCCUGCAGUCGAUACGGGCAGACUUGAGUUCGGUAGGGGAGACUGGAAUUCCUGGUGUAGCGGUGAAAUGCGCAGAUAUCAGGAGGAACACCGGUGGCGAAGGCGGGUCUCUGGGCCGAAACUGACGCUGAGGAGCGAAAGCGUGGGGAGCGAACAGG
RNAcentral lists this ribosomal RNA (253 nucleotides) under uncultured bacterium. RNAcentral describes it as "partial 16S ribosomal RNA". It matches the Rfam family "Bacterial small subunit ribosomal RNA", at positions 524 to 776 of the family's 1533-position model. The record is from RNAcentral.